UAUUUAACAAUUUUUAAAAAUUUUUCUGCAUAUUUAUUUAAUAAAAAUGUACCGAAUUUGUCUGAAUUAUAAACUAUUUUAAAUUAACUAUUCAAUCGGUCAUAAUAAUUUUAAGGGAAACUUCAAAUACCCCCAUGUGGUUUCGCACUUUCUCACUCUAGUACCCUGUGGUUUAAAAUGUAUCAAGUUAGUAUCUUGUGGUUUCGCACUUUCUCACUUUAGUACCUUGUGGUUUCAAGUGUAUCAAGUUAGUAUCCUGUAGUUUCGCACUUUCUCACUUUGGUACCCUGUGGUUUAAUAUUUCGUUAAAUUAUAUAUCCCGAAAUGGAUAAUAAAAAGAGAAAAUUGAAACCACAGGGUAUUAACUUGAUACAAAAUGAAACCACAUGGUACUAACUUGAUAUACUUUAAAUCACAGGGUACUAAAGUAAGAAAGUGCGAAACCACAUGGUGCUAACUUGAUACACUUUAAACCACAGGGUACUGAAGUGAGAACGUGCGAAACCACAGGGGGGGUAUUUGAAGUUUCCCCUUAAUUUUACUAUCCAACUUUUCAAUAUGUUAAAUUUGAUUCAGUCAACCACACUUUAAUUUUAAAAUUUAAGUUAAUUGCAUGAAAUUUACUAAUUAAAUAUGUAAAAAUAAACAACGCAACUAUAAAUUCUCGCACUAUUAAAUUAUCAAAGUAAAAAAAUUAGCUUAAAUUUUGAAACAAAAUGUUAUUGACUGACUCAAAUCAGAUAUAUUGAAACAUUAGAUAAUAAAAUUAAAUUUCGAAAAUGUCGGAUAGAAAACUCAAAAUGAUCCACAGUUCAAUAAGUUCUAUACAGUUUUACCUAUUUAUUAUUAAG
Molecule: long non-coding RNA, 851 nt
Filed under: Ananas comosus (pineapple)
Lineage: Eukaryota; Viridiplantae; Streptophyta; Magnoliopsida; Poales; Bromeliaceae
Description: long non-coding RNA (ACOM_LNC001557)
Source: RNAcentral